This 71-nucleotide transfer RNA is filed under the name Fasciola hepatica (liver fluke). It matches the Rfam family "tRNA". Rfam says of the family: Transfer RNA (tRNA) molecules are approximately 80 nucleotides in length. Their secondary structure includes four short double-helical elements and three loops (D, anti-codon, and T loops). Further hydrogen bonds mediate the characteristic L-shaped molecular structure. tRNAs have two regions of fundamental functional importance: the anti-codon, which is responsible for specific mRNA codon recognition, and the 3' end, to which the tRNAs corresponding amino acid is attached (by aminoacyl-tRNA synthetases). tRNAs cope with the degeneracy of the genetic code in two manners: having more than one tRNA (with a specific anti-codon) for a particular amino acid; and 'wobble' base-pairing, i.e. permitting non-standard base-pairing at the 3rd anti-codon position. Lineage: Eukaryota; Metazoa; Platyhelminthes; Trematoda; Plagiorchiida; Fasciolidae. The record is from Rfam by way of RNAcentral.
GCCCGGAUGGCCCGGUGGUUAGGUGUUCGACUUACAAUCGUCCACGCUGGGUUCGAGUCCCAGUUGGGGCU